This is a non-coding RNA of Podarcis lilfordi (Lilford's wall lizard), 72 nucleotides long. The record is from the annotation of a GenBank genome assembly. Lineage: Eukaryota; Metazoa; Chordata; Lepidosauria; Squamata; Lacertidae.
GGGUUCAGUGUUAGUGGUAGAGCGUGUGCCUUGCAAGCAGAAGGUCCCAGGUUCAAAUCCCUGGCAUCUCCA